CCAGCCUUUGUUUUCCUUGACUAGGUGAAUGUUUAUCAUUAUAUCAGUCUUUCUGUCCUACGAUAUCUUUUUCCUUAAAAUUUGUUUUUGACAUUAAUAAAUAAACACCAUUUCUUAGAAUUAGUUUUUGCAUAAUAUGUCCUUUCUAUGUUUUACACUUAAUCUCUGAAAUGACUUUUAUGCUUUAGGUAUGUGUCUUGUAAACAGUAUAACCUGAAUUUAUGUUUUUGCAUUCAAUUUGUCAGUCUCUGUCUUCUGGUCACAAGUUUAGUCUAUUUGCAGUUACUAAAAUUAAUGAGAUGUGUGGACUUUAUAUUAUAAUAUUUUUCACUUUAAUCUUUCCCAUGAUUUUACUGACUUUUUUAUCCUGUUGUCACAUGUCUAGAACCCAUUCUAACGUGUAUCAGGCCUGGGUAUGCUGCCUGGAAGGUGGAUGUAUUUUGCCUCCUACUUUGGGAUGUGUUUUCAGUCUCUGUUAAGGUUUUGGUUGCUCAUUUCUGGCAUCCCCUUCACACAGGAAAUACCCAGAUUCAGCCAUUUGCAGAUUUUGAAACAUUGUUCUGGUUCGCUGCAUAUGGCCUGUCUCUGGACUCAACUCAACAUCCCAUGUCCUCGCUCAGACUAUAUAACUCUAGACCCAGCCUGUUAAUAUGGACUGCUUGUAUUUUUUCAGAGAAACCUCUAAAAGAAAUUAUCAAUUUCUUCAAAACAUUAACUUGAUAGGUUCUUUUUAAAUCAAGUAAUCUGUUAAAAAUUAUAUGGGUGCUCUAAACUAUAUCCCCUGGAUAAUCUAACCUGUAAAUAGUUUGAACAGUUAUCUUUUACAGCCAGAAUAACAAUACUAGUUAAUACCAGAGGACUAAUCUAUGGGUAGCUCGUUUCAAAAUUUACUCUGAGAGCUUAAAAGAAAAUAUAUUUUGUAGGGAAACAAAGCAUAUUUUUCCAAGAUCCAGUCAGUAGUGAAGGCAUCUUAAUAGUAUCCAGGAUCCUCACAUGUGAAGAAAAGUGAACUAGGUAACAAAUGAGAAGACUUACAUACGCUUAGUUCUUGCAGGAGGAAAGGAACUAUCUGGGUAUGGAAAAGGUUACUAGGCAAGAUUGUGAUUGAAGAGAAAGGAUAAUGAUAAAGGGGCUUUGCAGAAGCUCUGGUUAGAAGAAAUAACUAAUAGUAAUGAAUAUGUAUCUCUCCAACCAAUGAGAAGCAUAUGAUGAGGCAGAGUCACUUGUCUCUGGCAGUCCAAGCUACUAAGAAGCACAAAUAAAAUAUAUAGUAGCAGGGGGAGAUGGGAAGGGUGAGAGAAUGUAGGAUAAAUUACCAUU
This 1320-nucleotide long non-coding RNA is filed under the name Homo sapiens (human). Its description in RNAcentral is "HSALNT0104882". Lineage: Eukaryota; Metazoa; Chordata; Mammalia; Primates; Hominidae. The record is from RNAcentral.